GGAGGUACCGUCACCCUCUGGGCUAUUCACCCGAGUGGCUUCGUCCCUCCUGAAAGCGGUUUACAACCCUAAGGCCUUCCUCCCGCACGCGGCGUCGCUGCGUCAGGCUUUCGCCCAUUGCGCAAGAUUCCCC
RNAcentral lists this ribosomal RNA (133 nucleotides) under uncultured bacterium. RNAcentral's name for it is "partial 16S ribosomal RNA". The record is from RNAcentral.